This 1331-nucleotide ribosomal RNA is filed under the name Dothideomycetes sp. 11190.1. RNAcentral's name for it is "eukaryotic LSU rRNA". The stretch from base 734 to 1331 matches the Rfam family "Eukaryotic large subunit ribosomal RNA", at positions 1 to 612 of the family's 3401-position model. Lineage: Eukaryota; Fungi; Ascomycota; Dothideomycetes. The record is from RNAcentral.
ACGUCCCUCCCAUGGGACAGUGAUCCUUCCGCAGUGUACACUUGUAGAAGCCUUAGCGGGUCCAAAAGACCGGUUCCGCGACUCAAAAUAAGAGAUGACCCCAUCCUCCACAUUGUGGGUGGGUGGCGCUAGUCGGUCCCAUGUCCAUGUUCUAUGUGAUGGGGCGCCGGCGACACUAUCGAAUUGCGGGGAUACCCUAAAGGGCGGCCGUACGAACCCCGAGGUGAAAGUCUCGGGCUGCGAUAGUUAACAGCUAUCGGAAACGUAAAAAUCGGUCGCCAUGAUCCCCUGCCCGAGCAGGGGGGAAAUGGGCAAUCCGCAGCCAAGGGCCUAAGGCCGUCUUCAAGGGCGGCUACGGUCAAGGUUCACAGACUAAGUGGUAGUGGGUGUGGUCUAUGUGGCCAUGCUUAAGAUAUAGUCGGGCCAUCAGGGAAACCUGAUGGGUAAGUACACUGCAUGUGGCAAGGGUUUUAACCCUUCCCUACGUCUUCUGACGUUCUGUAAACCGUUCCGUAGGUGAACCUGCGGAAGGAUCAUUAAAGAGUAAGGGUCAUUCGUGGCCCGACCUCCAACCCUUUGUUGUUAUAACUACCUCGUUGCUUUGGCGGGACCGCUCGGUCUCGAGCUGCCGGUCUUCGGCCCGGCAAGCGCCCGCCAGAGUCUACUCAAACUCUUGUUUUAACCGGUCGUCUUUUGACUCCUUUGCCGUUAAAACCCCAAUUUUUUAACAGGUUGACCUCGGAUCAGGUAGGGAUACCCGCUGAACUUAAGCAUAUCAAUAAGCGGAGGAAAAGAAACCAACAGGGAUUGCCCUAGUAACGGCGAGUGAAGCGGCAACAGCUCAAAUUUGAAAUCUGGCACUUGUGUCCGAGUUGUAAUUUGUAGAGGAUGCUUUUAGGCAGCCACCGGUCUAAGUUCCUUGGAACAGGACGUCAUAGAGGGUGAGAAUCCCGUAUGUGACCGGACAGGCACCUUCUGUAAAGCUCCUUCGACGAGUCGAGUUGUUUGGGAAUGCAGCUCUAAAUGGGAGGUAAAUUUCUUCUAAAGCUAAAUACCGGCGAGAGACCGAUAGCGCACAAGUAGAGUGAUCGAAAGAUGAAAAGCACUUUGGAAAGAGAGUUAAAAAGCACGUGAAAUUGUUGAAAGGGAAGCGCUUGCAAUCAGACUUGUCCUCGGGUGUUCCGCCGGUCUUCUGACCGGUCUACUCAUUCGGGGGCAGGCCAGCAUCACUUUCGGCGGCCGGAUAAAGGCAUUGGGAAUGUAGCUCAACCUUCGGGGGGAGUGUUAGUAGCCCAGUGUGUAAUACGGCCAGCCGGGAGUGAGGUCCGCGC